GAUUUGGUCUUCCUCUCCUCCUCCCUCCCACUGUUACUGCCCUGCAGCCCUUGUUCAGGUGUACAGACCCUUAUUCUGGCCUCUAGUGUCCCUGUCUGUCAUGACACACCCUUCCGCCCAAAUACCUCUGACCCUAAGGCUGGAAUGGGGCUGGUAGGAGAUAAGUUUGCUUACUCAGUCAUGUCCUUUCUCUUGGCACCUGCUUCCCUGCAGUGUCCUCAAAUGGAUUUGUGUGUGGCAGUGGAGUGAUUGCAUGAAUUUUUCUGUAACACAUUAACUUUGUAUUAUUAUUAAGGGAGUUUGAGAAAGCUUUGCUUAUAAUGUCAAGGCAAGGAGGUAAAAACUGGAGCCCAAAGAAAUUCCCUUAGGGCAAGAUUAUGUUAUAAUAGAAAAUUGAAUUUCCUGAGGCAGUGGCUGCCACCCCUUUUCAGAUGUUUAGUCCAGCAAAUAGCAUCUUUCUUGUAGUCUGUGACAUGGGUGGGGAUGCUAGGGCCCUCAGGGGCAAGGGGACUAAACUAAAUCAAGUUGAGUUUUUUUCCAGCAGGGGUUAGGGGAGGUACUCACUGUUGAUAUUUGACACUAGAAAGUAAUCUUUUUUACAAAACUGUUUUUCUAGGUGGGUAGAAAGUGAAACUGCCACAUCCUUGUUGGUUUAGUCCAAGAGAUCAUUUGCAACAACAGUAGAUGUCUGGGUUUUGUUUCUGUCUUUUUAUUAUGAAAAACUAUGUUAAGGGGGAAAAUGUGGAUUAUGGUAACCAGAGGAAUCCCUAGCCUUGUUUUCCUUAGAAGACUUGUUUAGUGUUUUAUCAGACGUCUGUUGUAGUUGUAGACAGGAAAGCUUGUGAGAAAAACACCACAUGGAGCCUGUAAAUGUUUUUGCACAACCUGUAAAGCAUUCUUGGAAGUGGCCAGUAAAAAAGGGUUUUACCAUUUAAAAAAAAAAUGUAACUGUGUCAUUGUUUACAUCUGUAACUUUUUCCUCCCCUGUUCUCAUUACACCAUUCUGGCGAAAAUGUAGGCAAAGUAGCAUCCAGUUUUAGAAUAAAUAACCGUUUGGAUUGAAU
This 1064-nucleotide long non-coding RNA is filed under the name Pongo abelii (Sumatran orangutan). RNAcentral describes it as "lncRNA (ENSPPYG00000038113.1)". Lineage: Eukaryota; Metazoa; Chordata; Mammalia; Primates; Hominidae. The record is from RNAcentral.